This 459-nucleotide ribosomal RNA is filed under the name uncultured bacterium. RNAcentral's name for it is "bacterial SSU rRNA". It matches the Rfam family "Bacterial small subunit ribosomal RNA", at positions 337 to 793 of the family's 1533-position model. The record is from RNAcentral.
ACCUACGGGGGGCAGCAGUGAGGAAUAUUGGUCAAUGGGCGGAAGCCUGAACCAGCCAUGCCGCGUGCGGGACGACGGCCCUACGGGUUGUAAACUGCUUUUCCGGGGGAAGAAUAAGGCCCAUGCGUGGGCCGAUGCCGGUACCCCGGGAAUAAGGAUCGGCUAACUCCGUGCCAGCAGCCGCGGUAAUACGGAGGAUCCUAGCGUUAUCCGGAUUUACUGGGUUUAAAGGGUGCGUAGGCGGGCCCCUCAGUCAGCGGUGAAAGUCUGCGGCUCAACCGUAGGAUUGCCGUUGAUACUGGGGGUCUUGAAUUCGGCCAAGGUGGGCGGAAUGCGUGGUGUAGCGGUGAAAUGCUUAGAUAUCACGCAGAACGCCGAUAGCGAAGGAAGCUCACCGGGCCGACAUUGACGCUGAGGCACGAAAGCGUGGGGAUCAAACAGGAUUAGAUACCCGAGUAU